CACGUAGGGGGCAAGCGUUGUCCGGAUUUAUUGGGCGUAAAGAGCUCGUAGGCGGUUCGGUAAGUCGGAUGUGAAACCUCCAGGCUCAACCUGGAGACGCCACCCGAUACUGCCGUGACUAGAGUCCAAUAAGGGAGCGUGGAAUUCCUAAUGUAGCGGUGAAAUGCGCAGAUAUCAGGAGGAACACCAGCGGCGAAGGCGGCACUCUGGGCUGGAACUGACGCUGAGGAGCGAAAGCGUGAGGAGCGAACAGG
Molecule: ribosomal RNA, 254 nt
Filed under: uncultured bacterium
Lineage: Bacteria
Description: partial 16S ribosomal RNA
Rfam family: Bacterial small subunit ribosomal RNA
Source: RNAcentral